UACGUAGGGUGCGAGCGUUGUCCGGAAUUAUUGGGCGUAAAGGGCUCGUAGGCGGUUUGUCGCGUCGGGAGUGAAAACCCAGGGCUUAACCCUGGGCUGGCUUUCGAUACGGGCAGACUAGAGGUAUGCAGGGGAGAGCGGAAUUCCUGGUGUAGCGGUGAAAUGCGCAGAUAUCAGGAGGAACACCGGUGGCGAAGGCGGUUCUCUGGGCAUUACCUGACGCUGAGGAGCGAAAGUGUGGGGAGCGAACAGG
Molecule: ribosomal RNA, 253 nt
Filed under: uncultured bacterium
Lineage: Bacteria
Description: partial 16S ribosomal RNA
Rfam family: Bacterial small subunit ribosomal RNA
Source: RNAcentral